UUAAGUCCCAUAACGAGCGCAACCCUACCCUUUAGUUGCCAUCAGGUAAUGCUGGGGACGUCUAAAGGAACUGCCUACGCAAGUAGUGAGGAAGCGGGGAUGACGUCAAAUCAGCACGGCCCUUACGUCCAGGGCUACACACGUGCUACAAUGGCCGAUACAGAGGGCAGCUACCUGGUGACAGGAUGCAAAUCUCCAAAGUCGGUCUCAGUUCGGAUCGGAGUCUGCAACCCGACUCCGUGAAGUUGGAUUCGCUAGUAAUCGCGCAUCAGCCAUGGCGCGGUGAAUACGUUCCCGGGCCUU
RNAcentral lists this ribosomal RNA (303 nucleotides) under uncultured Sphingobacteriales bacterium. Its description in RNAcentral is "bacterial SSU rRNA". It matches the Rfam family "Bacterial small subunit ribosomal RNA", at positions 1080 to 1382 of the family's 1533-position model. Lineage: Bacteria; Pseudomonadati; Bacteroidota; Sphingobacteriia; Sphingobacteriales. The record is from RNAcentral.